AAGAGCCCAAACCAAAGAUUUAUCUUUGGGGUUGCGGACAGAACAUUAACGAGAAAUUAUGGUUAACCGAACACAACUGGAAAGUUGGACCGUAGGGGGUAAUAGUCCUGUAGGUGAAAAUUAUAAUGAUCAAGUUCUGAUCCAGAGUACCACGAGACACGUGAAACCUUGUGGGAAGCAGGGAGGACCACCUCCCAAGGCUAAAUACUACCUGAUGACCGAUAGUGAAGCAGUACCG
Molecule: ribosomal RNA, 238 nt
Filed under: Clostridium botulinum
Lineage: Bacteria; Bacillati; Bacillota; Clostridia; Eubacteriales; Clostridiaceae
Description: partial 23S ribosomal RNA
Rfam family: Bacterial large subunit ribosomal RNA
Source: RNAcentral